RNA transcript from Harmonia axyridis, 4001 nucleotides. It is a transcript of the gene named syntaxin-1A-like, with no coding region annotated. The record is from RefSeq and is a predicted model, not a curated record. The transcript has 11 exons. Lineage: Eukaryota; Metazoa; Arthropoda; Insecta; Coleoptera; Coccinellidae.
UUCAGUUUAUCGAUUUGUCAGUUCGAUGGUGUUGAGUUCUGUCGUUGGAUUCUAGGCUCGGUGUCGUUCAUUUAAUCGUAUUGAAUGGGAUUUUUUUAUGAAAUAAAAGUUUUUUGUGGUGUGUGAUUAAAGUCGGUCUAAAAUGACAAAAGAUAGAUUGGCAGCUUUGGUUGCGGCCCAAAGUGACGAUGACGAUGUUGGUCCAGAUGAUGUUGCCGUCAAUGUCGAGGGCAGGGAUGGAUUUAUGGAUGCGUUUUUUGCAGAGGUGGAGGAGAUACGGGACAUGAUAGACAAAAUACAGGCCAACGUAGAGGAAGUAAAGAAAAAACACAGUUCAAUACUAGCGGCACCCCAGAUCGAUGAAAAAACGAAACAAGAACAGGAAGACCUUAUGGCCGAAAUAAAGAAAACUGCCAACAAAGUCCGCUUGAAACUAAAGAACAUCGAACACAGUAUAGAACAAGAGGAACAAACUAACAAAUCGUCGGCCGACCUGAGGAUAAGAAAAACCCAGCAUUCAACACUAUCCAGGAAGUUCGUGGAGGUCAUGACGGAGUACAACAGGACCCAGACCGAUUACAGGGAACGGUGUAAGGCCAGGAUACAGAGGCAGUUAGAAAUCACCGGCAGACAAACAACAAAUGAAGAGCUUGAGGAAAUGUUAGAACAGGGCAACCCCGCUGUAUUUACUCAAGGUAUUAUAAUGGAGACCCAGCAGGCGAAACAAACGCUGGCCGACAUAGAAGCCAGACACGCUGACAUCAUCAAAUUAGAAAACUCCAUCAGGGAGCUCCAUGACAUGUUCAUGGACAUGGCGAUGUUGGUGGAGAAUCAGGGUGAGAUGAUAGACCGUAUCGAAUAUCACGUCGAACACGCGGUCGACUACGUACAAACCGCCACCCAAGACACCAAGAAAGCAUUAAAAUACCAAAGUAAAGCCAGGCGGAAGAAAAUCAUAAUGCUAGUCUGCGCAUCAGUGGUAAUAUUUAUCCUUGCUAGUGCAAUUUAUGCAAGGCUAAAAGGAGGUUAAAUUCCAUUGAUAUCGUGAGUAAAGAAAAAGCAAACAGUUUAUCUUGAAACCGACAAUUCUAAACUACACAAAAAAAUCAACACAAGCAAUACAAACAUUACACUAGUUACACAUUAUCACAUCAAGAUAAAUUUUUUGCUUGAGAAAAUUUGAAAAUUUAGUAUUUAAUACUGCUGAUUUAUUUGUAUUAUAUAAAUAGAGCAAUUUUUCUUAUAUGCUCCCAUACCAAAAAGGAAAUUUUUGCUUGCUUGCCAAAUCUGUAAAUGAUAUUUCAAAGAGCCUGGACAAUAUUCACUAUAAGGGACAAUAUUCCAAAAAUUUAAAAAUAUAUUUCUGAAAAUUAAAUAAUAACUGUUAAUGAUUAGUUGUUUUGUUUCCCAAACCACCAGAGAUAGUGCCAAAAAUUACACUUAAAAUAAUAUAAAUACACACAAGAUUUUUUAAUAUUAUUUCUCUUUUUUUAAUUCUAUUUAGGUGAAGUUAAGUUCUGGGUUUGAUUUGGAAAUUGUAUAAAUUUUCUGAUGAUAGUCAUAAAUUCUUCGAACGAAGCGGCUUUCAUUGAUCUCAGUAAAUUGCAAUCAUGUAAAACAAAUUGUAAUGAAUUUAAAAAUAUAAGUAGAAAAAUAUAUUAUCAAAUUUUCAGAUGAAGCUUUUGGUAAGUUGCCACUCUGCAGAAUGUAUAUAAAAUAUACGCAAAAAUUACCAAAAGUUCAUACAAGAGUAGGAAAAAUUGUUUGAAAUCAAAUUUAUAUAGAUGUGUAUUGGAUUCUUCUCAUAUGUAAAGAUGUACAAUUUUUUUUUUAUUAUUGUAUCUAUUACAACAGUUAUCCAGAGAUUAUUUGAUGCAAUGAUGCUUAAUAUUAAUAUUAUUUGUGCCUAACAGUUUCCUUUCGAUAAGCUUCAAAAAUAUGAGUCUUCAAUGCAUCAUUUAAAAUAUAUUAGAUUGUACUGAUUAUGUUAUUGAAUAUUUGGUCACUUUGGUUCAGUAUUAUAGGUUUCUUCUUGAAAUAGUGUUUGAUUGAAUUUCAUUGGAUUAGUCAACAUACAAAUGAAGAAAAUUAUGAUCCUUGUUUGUUUAACAAUUUUGGGAUUGAUUAUCACCUGUACUAUUGGAGGAUACCUUGGAAUUAUAUAAGCUGGUACUUCGCUGAAGGAUUGCUGUUGUUUGGUCGAAUAAGGGCCUAGUAACGAAAAAUUGCUUCUUGUCAAUUGCGAAAUUGGCAUUGUUUAAUUGUUGGGGUCAUAAUCGAAGUUCAAUCAUUAUUUAAAGAAAGAAUCAAUUCAAACAUAGUUGAUUGUAUGCAGAUCUUGUAGUUCUAUGUAGGUUAGGUUAACUAAUAUAAAAGAAAAUAUUUAAGAACAAACGUUUACUAUAGCAAUAAAUGUUGAUUUGAAAAAUGUGUGAUAUUAAAAAUUUAAAUCAUUUACUUCUUAUUCAUGAUAUAUUUUCGCUGAAAGCAUUUAAUACUGUACAGAAAGAAGUAAGAUCCUCAUUUCCGAGAUUGAUUUCAUAAAAACGUAUGCCAAAUAUCGAUUCUGCAAAUGUUCAGCACAUUCGACUAAUUUCUGGAUAUUCAGCAUUGAUCUAAAAACGAAAAAAAAAUACGAGUUUAAUGAAAUUGGGAGAAUAAUGAUUAUGUAUUCGAAGUUUCGGUAACUGCAGUAAGAAGUGAAAAACGUGGAUAAUUUCAACAUAUCGAAUUGACAACACACUGCCUUCACAUUAUCUCGUAUGAACACUGUAAAUACAGGAAAAAAUGUAUUAAUAUUCUAGUUUGUAAUUAUUCAUUAUUAGAUUUUAGCUCAAUGCUGUAAUAUUCUCAUUGUUAGUUACGCAAAAAUUUUCCAGUACAAUCAGCAGAUUGUAUGGCCUAACUCUUUGAACGGCAGUACCUGUUUGAAAAAUACAUUUUCGAAAAAAUUAGCUAGGUGGAUUUUUUCUUGAUGUAUGAUUUUGGGUACUCCUUUGUGCAAAAAGGCUCUAAAAGGCUAUAUUGCACUUCGGCCUGUGGUGUACAAUGUACAGAAGUGUUCAUAUAGCAUUAUUUAAUAAAUUCAAUAUCAAGGAAGACAAGAAUAGUUCAUUCAAACACAUCGGCUGUUCUUACUGAAUUCGUAUUAUUCAGCCUGUACAUUCUUCGUACAAUAAAGGUAUGCUAAUAAUUGAGGACUGUAGGAAAAAAGGUUCAUGAAAAUUUUCUGAUUCACUCGUCAACAUAUCAUUAUUACUAAAUUGUAGACUCACAUAUCGUGUAAAAAAAUAGUAAAAACACCCCAUGUACACCCUAAAAAACACAUGUCGUCUUCCUCUAAAACAAAACCCUUCAAGCAACCUUUCAACCACCCUGUAGUUAAUCCCCGUGUUUAUAUUGAUUUGGAUAUUACGUAGGCUUUCGAUUGAUCUCUAAGUAUUAAAUGAAGAGUCUUUAACGUCAUUAUAUUUGUAUACUUAUUAGACAAUUUUAUACUGAACCUGGGUAUUUAGAAAUCCAUAGACAGUCAUUGGUUUAGAAUUCAAAUUUGAAGAAGAAAAUAGUUCUAUAAUGUUAGCUCCAAUGGAAAUGGGCCAAAAUCACAUCUAGUUUGCAAUAGUCGAAAAUUAAUCCCACUCUUUGGUGUGAAAUAUAUUUCAUUGAAUUUCAUGAUUUGAUGAGUAUAAUGUGAUAAUAUUCCUAAUGUGUUGAAUUAUUUCCUGAUCUUUUUUUCGAAAAUCUAAACUUUUAUCUCCUAAGUAGAAAAAUACUACAAAAUAAUCAAAUGAAACCGUAGAAAUUAUUCUAUUUGACAUUAUACCGAAAAAAUCAAAACAAUCCAUCAUAUAAUGGGCCAAAAUCACAAGAAAAUCACAUCUAGUUUGUGGUAGUUGAAGAUUAACCCAAAAAAAAACUGUAUGAAAUAUAUUUCAUUGAAGUUCGUGAUCAGUAUAAUGUGAUAAUAUUUGUAAUAAAUACUUGAGUGUUUUGUAGAUUAA